UAGAGUUUGAUCCUGGCUCAGGAUGAACGCUAGCGACAGGCCUAACACAUGCAAGUCGAGGGGCAUCGGGGCUAGGAGCAAUCCUUGCCGCCGGCGACCGGCGCACGGGUGAGUAACGCGUAUGCGACCUGCCCGUUGCAGGGGGAUAAUCGGGAGAAAUCCCGUCUAAUACCGCGUAAUGCCGCGGGGCUGCAUGGCCCUGCGGCCAAAGGGAGCGAUUCCGGCAACGGAUGGGCAUGCGUGACAUUAGCUAGUUGGCGGGGCAACGGCCCACCAAGGCGACGAUGUCUAGGGGUUCUGAGAGGAAGGUCCCCCACACUGGUACUGAGACACGGACCAGACUCCUACGGGAGGCAGCAGUGAGGAAUAUUGGUCAAUGGGCGCGAGCCUGAACCAGCCAAGUCGCGUGAGGGAUGACGGCCCUACGGGUUGUAAACCUCUUUUGUCGGGGAGCAAAUUCCGUUACGUGUAACGGAGUCGAGAGUACCCGAAGAAAAAGCAUCGGCUAACUCCGUGCCAGCAGCCGCGGUAAUACGGAGGAUGCGAGCGUUAUCCGGAUUUAUUGGGUUUAAAGGGUGCGUAGGCGGACUGUCAAGUCAGCGGUAAAAUACGGGGGCUCAACCUCCGCCCGCCGUUGAAACUGACGGUCUUGAGUGGGCGAGAAGUAUGCGGAAUGCGUGGUGUAGCGGUGAAAUGCAUAGAUAUCACGCAGAACUCCGAUUGCGAAGGCAGCAUACCGGCGCCCAACUGACGCUGAAGCACGAAAGCGUGGGUAUCGAACAGGAUUAGAUACCCUGGUAGUCCACGCAGUAAACGAUGAAUACUAGCUGUCCGGGGCGAAUGAGCCCUGGGUGGCACAGCGAAAGCGUUAAGUAUUCCACCUGGGGAGUACGCCGGCAACGGUGAAACUCAAAGGAAUUGACGGGGGCCCGCACAAGCGGAGGAACACGUGGUUUAAUUCGAUGAUACGCGAGGAACCUUACCCGGGCUCAAACGACACAGGAACGUACCUGAAAGGGUUCGGCUCUACGGAGCCUGUGUCGAGGUGCUGCAUGGUUGUCGUCAGCUCGUGCCGUGAGGUGUCGGCUUAAGUGCCAUAACGAGCGCAACCCCCAUCGACAGUUGCUAACAGGUCAGGCUGAGGACUCUGUCGAGACUGCCGGCGCAAGCUGCGAGGAAGGCGGGGAUGACGUCAAAUCAGCACGGCCCUUACGUCCGGGGCGACACACGUGUUACAAUGGCAGGUACAGCGGGAAGCCACCUGGCGACAGGGAGCGGAACCCGAAAGCCUGUCUCAGUUCGGAUUGGAGUCUGCAACCCGACUCCAUGAAGCUGGAUUCGCUAGUAAUCGCGCAUCAGCCACGGCGCGGUGAAUACGUUCCCGGGCCUUGUACACACCGCCCGUCAAGCCAUGGAAGCCGGGGGUGCCUGAAGUGCGCUGCCGCGAGGAGCGCCCUAGGGUAAAACCGGUGACUGGGGCUAAGUCGUAACAAGGUAACCGUA
RNAcentral lists this ribosomal RNA (1503 nucleotides) under uncultured bacterium. RNAcentral's name for it is "16S ribosomal RNA". It matches the Rfam family "Bacterial small subunit ribosomal RNA". The record is from RNAcentral.